This 254-nucleotide ribosomal RNA is filed under the name uncultured prokaryote. Its description in RNAcentral is "partial 16S ribosomal RNA". It matches the Rfam family "Bacterial small subunit ribosomal RNA", at positions 525 to 777 of the family's 1533-position model. The record is from RNAcentral.
ACGGAGGAUCCGAGCGUUAUCCGGAGUGACUGGGCGUAAAGAGUUGCGUAGGGGGUUUGUUAAGCGAAUAGUGAAAUCUUGUGGCUCAACCAUAAGGCUAUUGUUCGAACUGGCAAACUUGAGAAUAUGAGAGGUAGAUGGAAUUCCCAGUGUAGGAGUGAAAUCCGUAGAUAUUGGGAGGAACACCAAUGGCGUAGGCAGUCUACUGGCAUAUUUCUGACCCUGAGGCACGAAAGCGUGGGGAGCGAACCGGA